This 77-nucleotide transfer RNA is filed under the name Arsenophonus endosymbiont of Aleurodicus floccissimus. Its description in RNAcentral is "tRNA-Met". It matches the Rfam family "tRNA". From Rfam's summary of the family: Transfer RNA (tRNA) molecules are approximately 80 nucleotides in length. Their secondary structure includes four short double-helical elements and three loops (D, anti-codon, and T loops). The record is from RNAcentral. Lineage: Bacteria; Pseudomonadati; Pseudomonadota; Gammaproteobacteria; Enterobacterales; Morganellaceae.
CGCGGGGUGGAGCAGGCAGGUAGCUCGUCGGGCUCAUAACCCGAAGGUCGUUGGUUCAAAUCCGGCUCCCGCAACCA